Larimichthys crocea (large yellow croaker) is the source of this 2141-nucleotide long non-coding RNA. RefSeq lists it as uncharacterized. The record is from RefSeq and is a predicted model, not a curated record. Lineage: Eukaryota; Metazoa; Chordata; Actinopteri; Sciaenidae. The transcript has 2 exons.
UAAAGGUCCAGAAUUUAAUAUCCACAGGGUCCUCUUCUGUGGAGUAGUAGAGCCCAGAACAGCGUAACAUAACAAUCAAAAACACAAAAACAAGUCGCCAUGACUCUCGGGCGGUUCUAACUUAAAUGAUGUCGAUCUUCUGAUUGGAUGCUUGUACGGGGUGCUGCUCCAAUCAGGCUCCUCCAUAUCUCAGAGGAAAGGAUGACGCAGAUGGCGACGCCUCAUAUAGUUCAGGGCCAAUCAGAGGCCGGAGAUCACACAGCUAUCUUUGCAUAAUGACGACUUCACACAACGUUACAAGAAGACACGCCGGCGGCUUCCCAUCGCUUUAAGACAAAAACUACCAACUAGCAUUAUUUCACGUCUAAAAUCAACGACAUUAAAUUACAAUAUCGUUGACAUUUGAUAUUUUGAGGCGUGUCAAUCAAAGUCUAUACUGACAAAUUAGUGACGGCUCAAUCUAACUGUAACAUGAUUUAACUGACCGUCAGUUAUCGUGAUUCUGUAUCCGGGUUAGGCGUCAGGUCCUGUCGGAGAUAAGAUUGUUUCACUCAAAAGCAUCACAGAGUUGGUUUGUAACACUCAAUCUGAUUGUCGUGAGUUUCACUAGAAAGUUUUAGUCUGACAACCAUGGUCGUACAAUCUCUAGCACCACCUUAGCAGCAUGUUCGGAAGUGUUUAGCAUCAUAGUUUAACAUGUGAACGUCUGCUAAUUUGCAAUAAACCUAUAAAAGUAGGUGAAUCCGAGAGGAAGGUCAUCGCGGCUUAAUGCCGCUUAAUGUUCGAGCUUCGCCGCGAUCGCCAGAGCAGAUCGCAGCCGUUCUAGACGACGUUUGCAAUUCGAGUUUCGAAAUAAAACACCAUGUUCUGACUUCAGAUCGUAAAAACAGCUCAAAGUUGACAACUUAUUCAUGGUAGAACCAAAAAAAAACAAAAAAAUGUGGUUGCCCAAAAUUCUUCUGGAAUGCUCUUGGUGGGACCAAAACUUGUUCCCGGUUGGAUUCAGGGUUCAAGGGACUGGCAGAAUUAUGGAAGUACCAAAGACUGCAGUUCUCCGUAUGCCCCAAUGUUAAAAUCUCCAACUUCACAGCAGAGAUAAAUGUGUUUACAGCCUGGUACUGAGAUGGCGAUGGACACAGAUUUUAAGCUGGGUCAGUUCAGAAACGUGUAGGUGACGUCACGCAUUCGCCGUCCAGCCUUUAUACUGUCAGUGGCUUCAGGUUAUAUCCUGUGGUGACAAGCUCGUGUGGGGAAAGGAAGCAACAUAAACCAGCUGUGAAUUUGGAUUAAAGGUCCAGAAUUUUCAGAAUAAGGUGGACACCGGGCUAUCCCGACAGAGACGUGAAUGUUUGGGCUCAAUUUAAUGCCGUUCACCAACCUCAUUGCAGCCCUAGCCGGGGCCAAUGGCGUGAAUAUCAGUUCAUAUCUCAGGCGUCACAAGGUUGAAGUUGAAAUAAAACACAUUGGGUCACCUCAAAUGUUAAACAAAAGGUGUUUCUGUCAUGCAGAAGCUCUAUUUUUUUAUAUUAAUAUCUAGUUUUAUAUUGGUUUAAACCGUAUUUUACUCGAGUACUUCAGAAGGCAACGCGUCGUGAGCGGUGGAGACUUUGUCGUCUUUGAGUCAGGAGUCGUUUUUUUCAGCACACGGCGUCAAACCAAACCAUGUUUGAUACGCGAGGCUAAAGAGUGACAAAAAAAAAAAAAGAAAAGAAAGAAGGAAGACACACAAAAUUAACAAAAGUGUGUGUGCGACGUCGAGAGAAGUGAGGAGGAAGGAGGAUAACGUUAAAACGAUGCGAAGCCGAGAUGUAGAGGUAUCAUCAUCAUCAUCAUCCUGGCAACCGGAUGACUGCGGUGCCAGAGCCGCGUGGUGACUUCCUGUUUGUCAGCAGCAUACAGGAAGUAAGAGGCCCUUAGAGGUUGAUGUGUGUGUGUGUGUGUGUGUGUGGGUGUGUGUGUGUGUGUGUGUUUGUAUGCAUGAAUAAAAACGUCUUUGAGUUUUAAGUGUAGGAAAGCACUGAGAGAGAUUUUACCGUGAGGUGUAACUGUGGAUGUUUUUGUCCGUGUUGCUGUAAAUCAAUCAGGGUCGAUGACUUUGCGUGGACAAAAGGAAGGCACAAAUAAACUGUCUGCAUCCACAA